AGAGUUUGAUCAUGGCUCAGAACGAACGCUGGCGGCAUGCCUAACACAUGCAAGUCGAACGAGACCUUCGGGUCUAGUGGCGCACGGGUGCGUAACGCGUGGGAAUCUGCCCUUAGGUUCGGAAUAACUCAGGGAAACUUGAGCUAAUACCGGAUAAUGACGUAAGUCCAAAGAUUUAUCGCCUAGGGAUGAGCCCGCGUAAGAUUAGCUAGUUGGUGAGGUAAAGGCUCACCAAGGCUACGAUCUUUAGCUGGUCUGAGAGGAUGAUCAGCCACACUGGGACUGAGACACGGCCCAGACUCCUACGGGAGGCAGCAGUGGGGAAUAUUGGACAAUGGGCGAAAGCCUGAUCCAGCAAUGCCGCGUGAGUGAUGAAGGCCUUAGGGUUGUAAAGCUCUUUUACCCGGGAUGAUAAUGACAGUACCGGGAGAAUAAGCUCCGGCUAACUCCGUGCCAGCAGCCGCGGUAAUACGGAGGGAGCUAGCGUUGUUCGGAAUUACUGGGCGUAAAGCGCACGUAGGCGGCUUUGUAAGUUAGAGGUGAAAGCCCGGGGCUCAACUCCGGAACUGCCUUUAAGACUGCAUCGCUUGAAUCCAGGAGAGGUGAGUGGAAUUCCGAGUGUAGAGGUGAAAUUCGUAGAUAUCUGGAGGAACACCGGUGGCGAAGGCGGCCUUCUGGCCUCUUACUGACGCUGAGGCGCGAAAGCGUGGGGAGCGAACGGGAUUAGAUACCCCCGUAGUCC
Molecule: ribosomal RNA, 742 nt
Filed under: uncultured Sphingomonas sp.
Lineage: Bacteria; Pseudomonadati; Pseudomonadota; Alphaproteobacteria; Sphingomonadales; Sphingomonadaceae
Description: bacterial SSU rRNA
Rfam family: Bacterial small subunit ribosomal RNA
Source: RNAcentral